This is a ribosomal RNA of 437 nucleotides. It matches the Rfam family "Bacterial small subunit ribosomal RNA", at positions 341 to 792 of the family's 1533-position model.
ACGGGAGGCAGCAGUGGGGAAUAUUGGGCAAUGGGCGAAAGCCUGACCCAGCAACGCCGCGUGAAGGAAGAAGGUCUUCGGAUUGUAAACUUCUUUUAUGAGGGACGAAGGACGUGACGGUACCUCAUGAAUAAGCCACGGCUAACUACGUGCCAGCAGCCGCGGUAAUACGUAGGUGGCGAGCGUUAUCCGGAUUUACUGGGUGUGAAGGGCGCGUAGGCGGGGAUGCAAGUCAGGUGUGAAAACUAUGGGCUUAACCCAUAAACUGCAUUUGAAACUGUAUCUCUUGAGUGCUGGAGAGGUAGAUGGAAUUCCUUGUGUAGCGGUGAAAUGCGUAGAUAUAAGGAAGAACACCAGUGGCGAAGGCGAUCUACUGGACAGUAACUGACGCUGAGGCGCGAAAGCGUGGGGAGCAAACAGGAUUAGAUACCCUGGUA